RNAcentral lists this ribosomal RNA (449 nucleotides) under uncultured bacterium. Its description in RNAcentral is "partial 16S ribosomal RNA". It matches the Rfam family "Bacterial small subunit ribosomal RNA", at positions 29 to 523 of the family's 1533-position model. The record is from RNAcentral.
AGCGAACGCUGGCGGCAGGCCUAACACAUGCAAGUCGAACGAACUCUUCGGAGUUAGUGGCGGACGGGUGAGUAACACGUGGGAACGUGCCCUUUGGUACGGAAUAACUCAGGGAAACUUGAGCUAAUACCGUAUGUGCCCUUCGGGGGAAAGAUUUAUCGCCAUUGGAGCGGCCCGCGUCUGAUUAGCUAGUUGGUGAGGUAAAGGCUCACCAAGGCGACGAUCAGUAGCUGGUCUGAGAGGAUGAUCAGCCACAUUGGGACUGAGACACGGCCCAAACUCCUACGGGAGGCAGCAGUGGGGAAUCUUGCGCAAUGGGCGAAAGCCUGACGCAGCCACGCCGCGUGAAUGAUGAAGGUCUUAGGAUUGUAAAAUUCCUUCACCGGGGACGAUAAUGACGGUACCCGGAGAAGAAGCCCCGGCUAACUUCGUGCCAGCCGCCGCGGUAA